GUCCACGCCGUAAACGAUGGGCACUAGGUGUCGGGGGUAUCCACUCCCUCGGUGCCGCCGCUAACGCAUUAAGUGUCCCGCCUGGGAAGUACGGUCGCAAGAUUAAAACUCAAAGGAAUUGACGGGGGCCCGCACAAGCGGUGGAGCAUGUGGUUCAAUUCGAUGCAACGCGAAGAACCUUACCUGGGUUUGACAUCUGGCGGAUCUCGGUGAAAGCCGAGAGUGCCCGCAAGGGAGCGCCAAGACAUGUGCUGCAUGGCUGUCGU
RNAcentral lists this ribosomal RNA (266 nucleotides) under uncultured bacterium. RNAcentral's name for it is "partial 16S ribosomal RNA". It matches the Rfam family "Bacterial small subunit ribosomal RNA", at positions 793 to 1055 of the family's 1533-position model. The record is from RNAcentral.